This is a long non-coding RNA of Pan troglodytes (chimpanzee), 423 nucleotides long. RefSeq lists it as uncharacterized. Lineage: Eukaryota; Metazoa; Chordata; Mammalia; Primates; Hominidae. The transcript has 3 exons. The record is from RefSeq and is a predicted model, not a curated record.
UAGAAGGACAGAAUAUGGGUCACAUCUGACCCUGCUCCAGAGACUUUAGUCAAGUGUUGUGGGAAGGCACUCAAAGAGCCAAGGUCUAGCUUGGAAGGACUCCAUCUUGGGAGGAAGAAUGAACAUACUUGCAAAACACACGUGAACAAUUUAAAGAAAAGCCAUGAAGAAAUGCAACAGUAAGGAAGGUAUCUUCAGAGGACACACUUGGCCCCACUGUUGGCCUGCCCCAGCACCCCACUGUAUAGAGCAGGGAGAUCAAAAACCAUCUGGGGAGACUUAGCAUGCAGAAGAGGAAGGAUGUCAACCAGACUCUCCUCUGAGUGGGUUUGGAAAGUUACAUGACUUCAUUUGCUUCAUUAGCUUCCUAGAAAGCUCUGAGACCAACGAACAGCUCAUUUCCAAUAAAUGGGGAGAAACUUA